This is a long non-coding RNA of Leopardus geoffroyi (Geoffroy's cat), 465 nucleotides long. RefSeq lists it as uncharacterized. NCBI's taxonomy places the organism in Eukaryota, Metazoa, Chordata, Mammalia, Carnivora, Felidae. The record is from RefSeq and is a predicted model, not a curated record. The transcript is spliced from 2 exons.
UGGUUGCCAGUCCUGAAGCUAGAUUUUGUUUGCCACUUUUGGGUUUAUUAUGCAAUCACCAAACCAUGAUUGAUUAUUUUCCCCAUAUCAACGGCUAUCUGGCAAAUAUAAUUGGCAAAGUGAAUCAUAUUGGGUCUAUAAACCCAGUCAUGAGCAGUCAGCAAAGACUCGCCUUGGGACUAAUUCCUGUAUGAGUUUUGAAGGACUUUUUGCUUUCAGAUUGAAGAAGGCACGACUUCACCUGCCUAGGAAAGCAGCCUUGGAAACACAGGCUUUGGGAACAAACCUGACAAACAGCCACAGAAUUCCUACCAGGGAAAACAUGGGGCCGGGUGGCGGGGGCGGGGGCUGCCUGCCUGUAGAGUCAGCUUCGUACCAAUUACACUGCACUUCAGGAAAAGUGCUUUUGAAUCGUACGUGCGCUUUUAAAAAUAAAACUUGGGGAGUUCUUCUCUGUUGAAACCA